CGAAAGGGGACCCCUUUAGUUCCCCUUUAGGGGAUGAACCAAAGGUGUGUUCCCCUUCUUCCCCUAAAGGGGACGGAGUCCCCUAAAGGGGAAGAAGAAGAGACUUUGGGUGUUCCCCUUCUUCCCCUUUAGGGGACGGAGUCCCCUAAAGGGGAAGAAGGGGUUCCAAAGGGGAAGAAAACGAAGGGGUUCGUCCCCUUUAGGGGAACCAAAGGGGAAGAAGUCCCCUUUAGGGGAAGAAGGGGUUCCCCUUCGGGGAUGACUUUGGGGUUCCCCUUUUAGUUCCCCUUUAGGGGAAGAAGAAGAACUAAAGGGGAACCAAAGGGUGUCCCUUCUUCAUCCCCUAAAGGGGAACCGAAGGGGACUUCCCCUUCGGGGAGCCCAAAGGGGGGGGGCGGAUUCCCCUUCGGUUAUUCCCCUUUAGUUCUUCCCCGAAGGGGAACCCCUUUAGGGGAACCAAAGGGGAUGAGCCAAAGGGUUACCGAAGGGGAUAACCGAAGGGGAUAACCAAAGGUUCCCCCGAAGUGUGUUCCCCUUUAGGGGAAGACAAGGAAAGCGUUCCUUUUCCAUCCCCUUUAGUUCUUCUUCUUCCCCUUCGGGGAUGAACCCCUUCUUCCCCUAAAGGGGACUUCUUCUUCCCCUAAAGGGGAACUUUAGUUCCCCUUUAGGGGAAGAAGAAGAACACUAAAGUUCCCCUUUAGGGGAAGAAGAAGAACACUAAAGUUCCCCUUUAGGGGAAGAAGAAGAACACUAAAGUUCCCCUUUAGGGGAAGAACUUUAGGGGAUGAACGAAGGGGGACCAACGUACUUUAACGUAGGCCGUUGGCCUACGUUAGGUCCUUGCACCAAACGAUNNN
This 857-nucleotide long non-coding RNA is filed under the name Volvox carteri. RNAcentral describes it as "long non-coding RNA (VCAR_LNC004307)". The record is from RNAcentral. Lineage: Eukaryota; Viridiplantae; Chlorophyta; Chlorophyceae; Chlamydomonadales; Volvocaceae.